This is a long non-coding RNA of Ictalurus punctatus (channel catfish), 3906 nucleotides long. Lineage: Eukaryota; Metazoa; Chordata; Actinopteri; Siluriformes; Ictaluridae. The record is from Ensembl.
AACUAUAAUAAUAAUAAUAAUAUAACGAUAAAAUAAUUAUGAAAAUAAAUAUUUUAAUAAGACUAAAACUUUUUUUCUUAAAAAUCACGCGAUGUGUAAAACAAAUAAAGUUCAUACAAAUAAAGAAAUAAAGAUUUUCUUACUUCGUGACGGCGCUGGACCGGAAUCACGGCGUGCGCGCGCGUGCGUGUGCGUGUGUAUGUGUGUGUGUGUGUGCGCUAUCCUCCGCUCACGCACACACGUUCUCUCUUUCUCUCUUUCUCUAUGUCUCUCUCUCUCUCUCUCUCUCUCUCUCUCUCUCUCUCUCGCUCUCUGUACCUGUAUCAUGAGGACUGCAGGUGUGGGAACCUUCUCUCUCUGAGCUCCCACACGGAUAGUCCCUGUGUGUGUGUGUGUGUGUGUGUGUGUGUGUGUGUGUGUGUGUGUGUGUGAGAGAGAGAGAGAGAGAGAGAGAGAGAGAGAGAGAGAGAGAGAGAGAUGAGAUCCUGUCUGAAGUUAAGUUACAGGUUUAGAAGAAGAAUUAUUUUGAUGAUGGUGAUGAAGAUGAUGACGACACCUCGUGCAGGUGUGUGAAUGUGUGCAGUCUAAUUCUGAUUAAUUAACUUAUCAGCAUGACCAAUCUUUAAAACAUUCUUCACUAGAACGCAUGUAAAUGAUCUGUUUCACCCUGACUCAUGUGAGUGAAGGAGCUGGGACGUGUGUGUGUGUGUGUGGGUGUUGUGUGUUUCAUGGUGAAUAUUGAUGACUCGAGCUCAUUAACAUGUCAGCCCAGGCCAUCUUCAAAGGGUUAAUAAAAAUAAUCCAGCAUUCCAUGACCCUUUGUGACCUAGCACUUCUCUCCAUCUUUUUAAUAAAUCCAUGCAGCUGUGCGACGUUUAAAUGGGUCCCCCUCUCUCGCCUUUCCCUGCCUCUGUGACCAUCCAUGAAUCCGGCCUUUGUGUGGAGUUUCCUAUCCUCCACCGUUCCUUCUCUCUCUCUCUCUCUCUCUCUCUCUCUCUCUCUCUCUCUCUCUCUGUGUUCUGGGGGCAGGGUGGUGGAGCAGGGUGGCAGUCAUGGUGGUGGUGAUGGGGGGUGAAAACUUGGACGUAGGUCCUGUGCAGCUGGGGAAGAAUAGAGAAAGAGAGAGAGAGGGAUGGUGGGAUGAAUGGCUCAUUGUACUGGCCAGUGCGUAUCAGUGCUGAGAGGCUGAAGGAAAGAGUCCAGUUACUGCAAUUGUGUGAGAGAAUCUAAAGGAAACUGAUAGGGGAGAGCUGAGGGCUUAUACCAGGGAGUUUAGGGCAAAAACAGGAGAAAGAGAGAGAGAGAGAGAGAGAGAGAGAGAGAGAGAGAGAGAGAGAGAACUGCAGGUAUUUCUAAGUUAUCCUGCUGCAGGUGUCGUCAGUAAAGUUUAUAAUCAUCCUGAUCAAUAGAUACAGUUUCUGUUUCAUCCAGUUUUUACAUUCAUGUUUAUUUUAAUCCACUUUGUCCAUAUCCAGAAACCAGACACCCCGCCCCGUAUUAUCAGGACACACCCUCUUUUUCAGAUCUAAAAUAUCAGCCCCUGUCGAGAUUCCCAAAAUUCUUAAUAUGACCCACGAUUGUGUCGUCUCUGUAAAUAGACAGCCCGUACUCUAUAUUUCUGUCGGUUCCAUGCUCUGCACACUGCUGGAAGAGUUCAUGGUUCUGUGUAAAGGAACGUUUUCCUGGAAGUUUGAUAGAUGUUUGAGAUCAGAACAGAGACACACUGAAUAAAUAGCACAGGUGUAUCCUUACUAUUAGAAAAACUUACAUAGCUGUGUUUUUAACCUGGACAGGAAAAUUGGAGGGCAAAAAAGCCCCAAAAACCUCCAAUGUAUUGCUUAGAGGAUUUAUAGAAGGGCUGGUCAUGAGUUUCUGAAAAGCAUCAGAAACGUAAUACCUUAACUGGGAGAGAGAGUGUUCCGUAUGAUGCUCUCUCUACCGUAUUUGUGCUCUGAUGCUUUUGGGAAACUCUGAUUAUUUGUGUUGAUAUUAUAUCCGUAUAUUUCUGUGUAUUUCAUGUUCAGUAUCAUUUAAACACAUUUCAUGGUGAACAACGUGGUGGUCUCUGUGACAUGACGAGCACUCAAAUGCUGUUUUUAAAAAAGUAAAAAUCCCAUCAGUCGUGACUACCAGCCCUGAAUAACUGGUCUCUCAGUGUCUGCAUGCAGUGUGUCUGUAAGUGUGCUGUGAUUAAUGUGGUUAUAUUAAUACACAGGAUCGUUUUUAAUGAUAUGAUUUACAAGUCACUGGUAGAAUUCCAUAAUGGGAAAGUCUUACAUCACUGAAGUCACAUUCCCUUCAGUCCAUUUACAUUUAUUCAUGUGGCAGAUUUUCCAGUUUGAUUUAUAACUGAGAGAAGGGACAGUCCCCCGCAGUUGGGGGUUAAAGGUCGAGUUUGAGCGGCCAGCAUCAACUCUCCCAGUGUUCCACUGACUGACUCCGAGCUGUAACCACCGAGGCACCACAUUCACACACUUAAACAUUCAGGCUCGGGUUCUAGAAUCAGGUUUCAGAGAACCACAAUAAUUAAUUGUGUUGUACGGAGCUCCUAUUAUUUCAUUAUUAUGCCACAGCUGUUGAGUUCUGGAUCGUGAUUGGUCAGAAGGUGUUGAUUAAUUUUCUAUAACAGCAGCUCUGAAAGUAGCGCAGCUGCAAAAGUUUACGCUUCUCUGCGGUUUCUGGCGUAACAAGCUGCAUUUUUUAAUCUGAUUAACUUCAAGAGAGAGAAAAAAGAGAGGCUGAUGUUUAUACAGUGGUGCUUGAAAGUUUGUGAACCCUUUAGAAUUUUCUACAUUUCUGCGUAAAUGUGACCUAAAACAUCAUCGGAUUUUCACACAAGUCCUAAAAGUAGAUAAAGAGAACCCAGUUAAAUAAAUCUGACAAAAAUAUUAUACUCGGUCAUUUAUUAAUUGAGGAAAAUGAUCCACUAUUACAUAUGAACCUUGUGUGUGACCCCCUUGUGCAGUAAUAACUGCAGAUAAACGUUUGGGGUAAGUGUUGAUCAUCUGCACAUCGACUUGGAGGAGUUUUAUCCCGUUCCUCAGUACAGAACAGCUUCAGCUCUGGGAUGCUGGUGGGUUUCCUCACAUGAACUGCUUGCUACAACAUUUCCAUUGGAUUAAGGUCAGGACUUUGAUUUGGCCAUUCCAAAACAUAAACAUUAACAUUAACUUUAUUCUUCUCUGGUAGAACGACUCGUGUGAUUAGGGUCGUUGUCUCGCUGCAUGACCCACUUUCUCUUCAGAUUCAGUUCAUGGACAGAUGUUCUGAUAUUUUCCUUUAGAACUCGCUGGUAUCAUUCAGAACUCAUUGUUCCAUCAGUGAUGGUGAGUCGUCCUGGUCCAGAUGCAGCAAAACAGUCCACAACCAUGACACUACCACCAUGUUUCACAGAUGGGAUAAAGGUCCUUCUGCUGGAAUGCAGUGUUUUCCUUUCUCCAAACAUAACGCUUCUCAUUUAAACCAAAAAGUUCUAUUUUGGUCUCAUCCAUCCACAAAACAUUUUCCAUUAGACUUCUGGCUUGUUCACGUGAUCUUUAUCAAACUGCAGAAGGGCAGAAAUGUUCUUUAUGGAGAGUAGUGUGGUUCUCCUUGCAGUCCUGCCAUACACACCAUUGUUGUUCAGCGUUCUCCUGUUGGUGGACUCAUGAACAUUAACAUUAGCCAAUGUGAGAGAGGACUUUAGUUGCUUCUCUGUUGGAGAGAUCUUUGUUGGUCUCCACUCCUGUGGAGGAGAACGAUGGUGUUGAAUUUCCUCCAUUUGUACACAAUCUGUCUGACUGUGGAUUGGUGGAGUCCAAACUCUUUACAAAUGGUUUUGUGAGCUUUUCCAGCCUGAUGAGCUUCAACAACUCUUUUUCUGAGGUCCUCGAAAUCUCCUUUGUUCGUGCCAUGAUACACUUCCAC